Molecule: ribosomal RNA, 274 nt
Filed under: uncultured bacterium
Lineage: Bacteria
Description: partial 16S ribosomal RNA
Rfam family: Bacterial small subunit ribosomal RNA
Source: RNAcentral
AUACGGAGGGUGCAAGCGUUAUUCGGAAUCACUGGGCGUAAAGGACGCGUAGGCGGGUUGGCAAGUCAGAUGUGAAAUCCUACAGCUUAACUGUAGAACUGCAUUUGAAACUGCUAACCUAGAGUAUGGGAGGGGGAGAUGGAAUUAGUGGUGUAGGGGUAAAAUCCGUAGAUAUCACUAGGAAUACCGAAAGCGAAGGCGAUUUCCUGGAACAUAACUGACGCUAAGGCGUGAAAGCGUGGGGAGCAAACAGGAUUAGAAACCCUAGUAGUCC